UAUCUGUGCCCAUCCCUGGGUAUUUCUGGACAUUGCUGUUCACAUAAACACACCCUUCAUGUGAAAUGGGAUGUGCUAGCACAGAGAGCAGCACUGAUGGGGUCUGACAGUCACACUACGUUUUUAAGAGAUGAGAUUAGGUGACCAGGGAGAAAAAGUGAGCUCAGUUUCUUGGGUCAUUACUGAGUUUCUGCCACUGUUGUGUCCUCACAAGUCAGCUCAGAGCAGUGUUAUCCCCUCAGAUCUGUAACCAGGCUCUGCAGAUGCAUGGGGGCUAUGGCUACCUGAAGGAUUACGCCGUGCAGCAGUUCGUGCGAGACAUCAGAGUGCACCAGAUCCUGGAAGGUACCAACGAGGUCAUGAGGAUGAUUGUGGCCAGGAAUCUGCUACAGGGCUGAAGCCAGGAGCCUUCAGAUCCCUCCAUGUGUGCCAGCCCGGCCUGUUUCCCUCCCCUGCUGGCCAGCUCUCUCCCUGGGAGUGCAGAGGGGGAUGCCCCAGUGGAAACAGCCUUCCUGCCUUACCCACAGCUGGCUGGCACAGCUGCACGCCGUGCCUGGCACCAGGCUGGCAUUGUGCAGCCAGAAAUCACAGCUGUCAAUACAAGCCUGUCUCCAAACCCUGCUCCUGGCCUGCCUGCCACAUGUCCUCCUUGAAAAAACAAACACCAGAGCUGCUGCUCACCCCUGAAAUGGGAACCUCAGGCAGAGGUGAGCCCAUGGGAUCACUGAAAUCUUUAUUUUGAAGGAAUUAACCGCUCACAGCACCCCAGAUGAUCACAGGCUCUAACCAGAGGGUUUUUAUCCCAGGAUGCCUCUCCUUUAGCUAGAAGCACUCUCUCUUUUCCCAGCAAAUUUUUCCUAAACUUUUCCCAGCCACUGCUUGUUCUCUGUAUUCCCACCACAUCUUGGUGCUUAAUCUCAAAGAAGCCUUUGCAACACAAAAGUGCAAAUGAAAUACUAAGGUUAUGUACAGAAAUAUUGAGUUCUGCAGCCUCCAAUCAGUGAGGCUGUGAACGAUGUAAGGGGAAUAAAAAUAUUGGUAAAUUAAAUUGUUUUUUCCUCUCUGAUUUGGAAUCAAUAAAGCAAAGAUGGAAAUGUUA
Non-coding RNA from Zonotrichia albicollis (white-throated sparrow), 1099 nucleotides. The record is from RefSeq and is a predicted model, not a curated record. Lineage: Eukaryota; Metazoa; Chordata; Aves; Passeriformes; Passerellidae.